GACGUAGGAGGCGAGCGUUAUCCGGAUUCACUGGGCGUAAAGCGCAUGUAGGCGGUUGAACAAGUCAUGUGUUAAAGCCCCCGGCUCAACUGGGGGAGGUCAUGUGAGACUGUUUGACUUGAGGGCAGCAGAGGUAGGUGGAACUCCCGGUGUAGCGGUGGAAUGCGUAGAGAUCGGGAGGAACACCAGUGGCGAAGGCGACUUCCUGGCCUGUUCUUGACGCUGAGGCGCGAAAGCUAGGGGAGCAAACGGG
RNAcentral lists this ribosomal RNA (253 nucleotides) under uncultured bacterium. RNAcentral's name for it is "partial 16S ribosomal RNA". It matches the Rfam family "Bacterial small subunit ribosomal RNA", at positions 524 to 776 of the family's 1533-position model. The record is from RNAcentral.